RNAcentral lists this ribosomal RNA (301 nucleotides) under uncultured bacterium. RNAcentral's name for it is "partial 16S ribosomal RNA". It matches the Rfam family "Bacterial small subunit ribosomal RNA", at positions 509 to 809 of the family's 1533-position model. The record is from RNAcentral.
CAGUAGCCGCGGUAAUACAGAGGGUGCGAGCGUUAAUCGGAUUUACUGGGCGUAAAGCGUGCGUAGGCGGCUUCUUAAGUUGGAUGUGAAAUCCCUGAGCUUAACUUAGGAAUUGCAUUCGAUACUGGGAAGCUAGAGUAUGGGAGAGGAUGGUAGAAUUCCAGGUGUAGCGGUGAAAUGCGUAGAGAUCUGGAGGAAUACCGAUGGCGAAGGCAGCCAUCUGGCCUAAUACUGACGCUGAGGUACGAAAGCAUGGGGAGCAAACAGGAUUAGAGACCCGUGUAGUCCCUGUCUCUUAUAA